Long non-coding RNA from Cicer arietinum (chickpea), 1076 nucleotides. RefSeq lists it as uncharacterized. NCBI's taxonomy places the organism in Eukaryota, Viridiplantae, Streptophyta, Magnoliopsida, Fabales, Fabaceae. The record is from RefSeq and is a predicted model, not a curated record.
AUUGAGCCGUAAGUUAAAAUUAAUAACAUAUCGUGAACCCUUCUCCUUCUCUCACACUUUGUCAAGGAUGAACCCUACAUUUUGAAUCUGAAAUUGAAUCCAUCACCAGUUCAUAUUGAAUCUGAAAUUGAAUCCAUAUUGGUGAGCCCUUCUCUCACACUUUGUCAUCGAUUCUCAUCCCUCUCAAUUCCAUGAGUAUCGACGCCAAACCCGUUCACAUCUCAAAUCUGUGAGGAUCAAACUCGUCCCCCUCUCGAACCUCUGACCCUCUCGAAUCUGUGAUCCUCUUGAACCUGUCACCGUCACUCUCAGAGUCGCCGUUCAGUGUCGCUGUCUCGCUCUCAUGUGUGAACGACUUCAAGAUAUCAACCUCAAUGCAAAUAUGACUUUUGUUGUUGAAGAGUUCAAGAAUUGCAUACUCCAAUAAAAGAUGGUGGUCCUUUCUGGAAGCUUUAAAAGAACUCGCAUUUUGUGGUUGGACUAGAUAAUAUCAACAAAAAUUCAAAGUUUUGUUUCUCCCUGAUAAAAAUUCUGAGGAAAAUCGAGGAACAUAAGCCAAGAGAACAAAGAUUCAAGGCCAACGAGAACAAGCCUGUUAUGACAGAGUGAUGACAGCUUUGGCUGGUGCUACGGAAAUAGCAUGAAAUAGCAUGGUAUUUUUAUUUAUUUUACUGGUGCUACGGAAGUUGACAUUUUGCUUUGAUUUAUAGGCUUUCAUUUUGGUUAGGUUAAGAUUUUGAAGAAUCGUGUUAUUCCUAUUAGUAUCUUUUUGUAAAUUUGUUUUCUAUUUCGGAUUUUUGCUUUUAUUUGGUGCAGUGUAGUUUAGUUCUUUUUGUAACUUAUUUAACAUAUGUAUUAGUUAUUGCUAUUGUAUUGAUUUUGGAUUAGAUGAACACUGAAUAUACUAGUGUAUAUCGAGACAUUCUUGCAAAAUCUGUUGAUGAUUGGGUUGAGUUGUUGGUUGCAUUUGAUGGGUAGUUUGUUACAUGCAUCUUAGUUAAAAUUGUGAUUUCAGUUUGUAAAAUCACACUAUUUUGCAAUAAUGUUUACCCUCAACAAUUAGUGAGUUUUAUAUA